GUUCCUUUUGGAGCAAAAGAUAAGGGAAUGAAUUUCAGAGAGAUUGGAAGAGGGAUGUAUGAAAGGCACCCGUAUUUUUCAAGGUUUAGGAGUAAUCCAUAUGCUGGCCAUCUUGGGUUACAGGUGGCUCAUUCGGAUGUACUGUGAACUGGGAAGUGGAAAGCUGUCGCUGGAUUUUGCAGAUGUAACAGGCUGGACAGCUCUUCACUGGGCUGCAUUCUUCAACAGCUGAAUUCGGAGAAAGUUGCUUCCAGCAGACAUAUUUAGCUACUUGGGUUCAAGUUUUAUCCCGUCAUCAACUUGGGUAGAUUGAAGUCGUUU
This is a long non-coding RNA of Papaver somniferum (opium poppy), 321 nucleotides long. RefSeq lists it as uncharacterized. The transcript has 3 exons. NCBI's taxonomy places the organism in Eukaryota, Viridiplantae, Streptophyta, Magnoliopsida, Ranunculales, Papaveraceae. The record is from RefSeq and is a predicted model, not a curated record.